CUAGCUACUCCUCUCCCUGGUCUAGCUACUUCUCUCCCUGGUCCAGCUACUCCUCUCCCUGGUCCAGCUACUCCUUUACCUGGUCCAGCUACUCUUCUCCUGGUCCAGCUACUCCUCUCCCUGGUCCAGCUACUCCUCUGCCGGGUCCAGCUACUCCUCUGCCUGGUCCAGCUAUUCCUUUGCCUGGUCCAGCUACUCCUCUGCCUGGCCCAGCUACUCCUCUCCCUGGUCCAGCUACUCCUCUCCCUGGUCCAGCUACUCCUCUCCCUGGUCCAGCUACUGCUCUGCCUGGUCCAGCUACUUCUCUCCCUGGUCCAGCUACUCCUCUCCCUGGUCCAACUACCCCUCUCCCUGGUCCAACUACUGCUCUGCCUGGUCCAGCUACUACUCUCCCUGGUCUAGCUACUUCUCUCCCUGGUCCAGCUACUCCUCUCCCUGGUCCAGCUACUCCUCUCCCUGGUCCAACUACCCCUCUCCCUGGUCCAGCUACUCCUCUGCCUGGUCCAGCUACUCCUCUCCCUGGUCCAACUACUCCUCUGCCUGGUCCAGCUACUCUUCUCCCUGGUCCAGCUACUCCUCUCCCUGGUCCAGCUACUCCUCUCCCGGAUCCAGCUACUCCUCUGCCGGGUCCAGCUACUCCUCUGCCUGGUCCAACUACUCCUCUCCCUGGUCCAGCUACUCCUCUGCCUGGUCCAGCUACUCCUCUGCCUGGUCCAGCUACUCCUCUCCCUGGUCCAACUACUCCUCUGCCUGGUCCAGAUACUCGUCUCCCUGGUCUAGCUACUUCUCUCCCUGGUCCAGCUACUCCUCUCCCUGGUCCAGCUACUCCUCUGCCUGGUCCAGCUACUCCUCUGCCUGGUUCAGCUACUCUUCUGCCUGGUCCAGCUACUCCUCUGCCUGGUUCAGCUACUCCUCUGCCUGGUUCAGCUACUCUUCUGCCUGGACCAACUACUCCUCUGCCUGGUCAAGCUACUCCUUUGCCUUGUCCAACUACUGCUCUGCCUGGUCCAGCUACUCCUCUCCCUGGUCCAGCUACUCCCCUCCCUGGUCCAGCUACUCCUCUCCCUGGUCCAGCUACUCCUCUCCCUGGUCCAGCUACUGCUCUGCCUGGUCCAGCUACUCCUCUCCCUGGUCUAGCUACUUCUCUCCCUGGUCCAGCUACUCCUCUCCCUGGUCCAGCUACUCCUUUACCUGGUCCAGCUACUCUUCUCCUGGUCCAGCUACUCCUCUCCCUGGUCCAGCUACUCCUCUGCCGGGUCCAGCUACUCCUCUGCCUUGUCCAGCUAUUCCUUUGCCUGGUCCAGCUACUCCUCUGCCUGGCCCAGCUACUCCUCUCCCUGGUCCAACUACUGCUCUGCCUGGUCCAGCUACUCCUCUCCCUGGUCUAGCUACUUCUCUCCCUGGUCCAGCUACUUCUCUCCCUGGUCCAGCUACUCCUCUCCCUGGUCCAACUACCCCUCUCCCUGGUCCAACUACUGCUCUGCCUGGUCCAGCUACUACUCUCCCUGGUCUAGCUACUUCUCUCCCUGGUCCAGCUACUCCUCUCCCUGGUCCAGCUACUCCUCUCCCUGGUCCAACUACCCCUCUCCCUGGUCCAGCUACUCCUCUGCCUGGUCCAGCUACUCCUCUCCCUGGUCCAGCUACUCCUCUCCCGGAUCCAGCUACUCCUCUGCCGGGUCCAGCUACUCCUCUGCCUGGUCCAGCUACUCCUCUGCCUGGUCCAACUAUUCCUCUCCCUGGUCCAGCUACUCCUCUGCCUGGUCCAGCUACUCCUCUGCCUGGUCCAGCUACUCCUCUCCCUGGUCCAACUACUCCUCUGCCUGGUCCAGAUACUCGUCUCCCUGGUCCUGCUAUUCCUCUGACAUUUUUUUUCUCUCUACUCCUCUGUGUUGUGCUGUAUCCACAUUGAACAAAAUCAAUCCCCUUUUUACUGUGUAUGUCCACGUAAUUGAACAAACUUCAACACCUGGCUAUGUCUCCGAUUGAGAUUGGAAUCAGCUGUGGUUGGUCUAUUUUACACAACUUACAGUAAAUCAGCUAUGAUCCGUUGAUUCAAAAAUGCUUAUCAGCUGUUUCAAUAUAGCUUUUGAGCUGCUGUUGUUGCAGAAGUAGAGGCUUUAUACUAUAAGGUUUUGUUCAUUAGGUGUUCAUUUCUGGCAUGCUGUGUGCAAGCAUUUGUAAAUAAGACAAGAAA
Molecule: long non-coding RNA, 2194 nt
Organism: Oncorhynchus mykiss (rainbow trout)
Lineage: Eukaryota; Metazoa; Chordata; Actinopteri; Salmoniformes; Salmonidae
Source: Ensembl